RNAcentral lists this ribosomal RNA (242 nucleotides) under uncultured bacterium. RNAcentral's name for it is "partial 16S ribosomal RNA". It matches the Rfam family "Bacterial small subunit ribosomal RNA", at positions 1248 to 1500 of the family's 1533-position model. The record is from RNAcentral.
AGCGAGGCUGUGAAGCGGAGCAAAUCUCAAAAACCGGUCCCAGUUCGGAUUGUAGGCUGCAACUCGCCUACAUGAAGUCGGAGUUGCUAGUAAUCGCGGAUCAGAAUGCCGCGGUGAAUGCGUUCCCGGGUCUUGUACACACCGCCCGUCACACCAUGGAAGUUGGGGGCGCCCGAAGUUGCCUAAGAAAUAAGGUACCUAAGGCGAAACCAAUGACUGGGGUGAAGUCGUAACAAGGUAAC